AUUUGCUGCCCUAUGAUCUUGAUUUUUUAAGAUUGAUGUAUUCUUUUUUAUAAUCGGUAUUUAUUUUGUUUUGUACAUGAAUCAGUAAUUCAGCAAAUUAGCACAUUCUUUUUUAAAACAAAAUUCGAGUGGAGCAUAAAAGUAUCUUUUGUCUCCGUCGUUGUGUCAUUGCUCAAAACUAACACAUUCGUCGAGAAUGUCAUCUAAACUUCCAAAAUUAGUUAAAAGGUGCGAUGGAAAAAUUCCUGGGUCUGGCACACAGAGCAACCAUCAGAAAUUGGCCCAUGUCACUGCUGAACAAUUGCUAGAGAAAAGGGUUGAGGCUGAGUUUGCUUGCAAAAAUUUGGAGGACAAUAUCAAGAUUGCUGAGCAGAAAAUAAAAACCUUGUUUGAAAUGAAAGCGCUGGAAGAUGCAGCUUUUGAAGAAAGUUAUAUCAAGAGGGCGAUGCUGAUGGCCAGAUCAUCUCUGAGCAACAAUCAGUCCGUAACUUGCAGGGACGUGGAGGAGAGAGCAAAAACAAUCACUACAAAUCUAUCUAGCAAUGUGGUAGAGGAAGUCUCAUCUCGUGCGCAAUCAUUCAUAUUCAAUCCAAGCGCUAAGAAGUUGGAGAGCUCUAUGAAAAGCUCGCUGAAGUGGUGUUUAGAGUCGGAUGGUGAAUUGAUGGCUCCGAAAGUGAUUUUGGAUUUGGUAACAAAGUAUUCCUGCAAGGAAAGACUGAAUCACAUCGUGGAUAUUCAAAACGAAGUGAAACACGAGGUUUCCAAGUUUGUUGAGUCAAUUAACGUUGAAGAGGACGCACUGAAGUUGAGCAAAGCGCUAGAAAAACUGGAGAUAGGUUCGGUAGCUCUUACACCGCUGGAGCAGCAUAUCAAGGAAUUCACUUUGCAAAACGCCCAGAUGGUGUUGGUUGAGCAGGACUUGAUCAAUGAGAACAAAAGAUUGGAAAGAGAGCUGCAAGAACUGCUUCAAAACAAUCCAGACAUGACUUCUAACGUCCAGCAACUGAUGGCGGCUGAACAGUCUGCAGUUUUGCACUCUCACUUGGAAUCUCUCAACGAAGGCAACCCAAAUUUUCAAAAGAACGAAUCAGAAAAGGCGCGAAUGUUGAAGAAGAUUUCUGUCUUGCUCAAAGAAUUGGAGGAACUAAGGUUUUGUGUUAUGAAAGAUUUGAGCAGCAUGGAGAGCAUCUUGACACACCAACAAAAACUAGUUGAUGAUAUGCUAGAAAUUGGCAAAUCAAGUGAAGAUUUUGGGGAAAUGCUAGAAAUUGAAAAGUGUGUUCAGGCGCUGAUCAGUAACAUUUACUCAAUGUCAUUGAAACCUACAACCGUUAAUGUAAAUUUGGCUGCACCGCAAGAGAUCAUUGAGUCGUCUGACAUGAAAGCACUGUUACGGCAGCUCCAACUACUCCAGACACACGAAGUUGAAAAUCUACAAAAGCAGACUGAAGCCUUGGAACAGUUUAAAGUUUAUCCAUUGAUCACUCACAAAUGCAGGAGAAAUGAGCAAACUGAAUGAGACACUGCAAAAAGACGCAGCGCUUGUGCUAAAAUCUGUCUGUGAAGCUCAGAACUUGUACCUGGAUCGUGCCAGCGCCUCAAAAGAUUUUGUAGAAAAACUGGACAGCUGCAAGGAGAAUUUCGUGGAGAAGAAACUAGCAAUCGAUUCAGCCAGGAUUGGAAGUGACUUAUCGCUUCAAGAGUGGAUUGAUCAUUUCACUGAGAGCUUCCCUGAAAUAAACUGCAUCUCUGAAUGAUUUGUGAUUGUACAACAA
This is an RNA transcript of Cloeon dipterum, 1775 nucleotides long. RefSeq lists it as uncharacterized. The transcript is spliced from 9 exons. NCBI's taxonomy places the organism in Eukaryota, Metazoa, Arthropoda, Insecta, Ephemeroptera, Baetidae. The record is from RefSeq and is a predicted model, not a curated record.